GGCACCGUGGCUUAGUUGGUCAAAGUGCCUGUCUAGUAAACAGGAGAUCCUGGGUUGAGAUCCUGGGUUCAAAUCCCAGCGGUGCCU
Molecule: non-coding RNA, 87 nt
Organism: Scatophagus argus
Lineage: Eukaryota; Metazoa; Chordata; Actinopteri; Scatophagidae
Source: the annotation of a RefSeq genome assembly